UACGGGAGGCAGCAGUGGGGAAUAUUGCACAAUCGACGGAAGGUCUGAAUGCAAGCAACGCCUGCGUGGACGGAAUGACACAUUGACGGUGGGUAAACUCCUUUUAUACUGCGAAGAUAAUGAGCGUAUCUCUGA
Molecule: ribosomal RNA, 135 nt
Filed under: uncultured bacterium
Lineage: Bacteria
Description: partial 16S ribosomal RNA
Source: RNAcentral